GGGACCGUGGGGUAGAUUGGUCCAUCCUACCAGCCUGGGGCGCUGGCGACCCGGAUUCAAAUUCCGGCGGUCCCA
RNAcentral lists this transfer RNA (75 nucleotides) under Thermoplasmata archaeon. Its description in RNAcentral is "tRNA-Pro". It matches the Rfam family "tRNA". From Rfam's summary of the family: Transfer RNA (tRNA) molecules are approximately 80 nucleotides in length. The record is from RNAcentral. Lineage: Archaea; Methanobacteriati; Thermoplasmatota; Thermoplasmata.